Peromyscus eremicus (cactus mouse) is the source of this 448-nucleotide long non-coding RNA. RefSeq lists it as uncharacterized. Lineage: Eukaryota; Metazoa; Chordata; Mammalia; Rodentia; Cricetidae. The record is from RefSeq and is a predicted model, not a curated record. The transcript is spliced from 3 exons.
AAAAAAAAGAAAAGAAAUUCUUCACCUUCUGUCUCCAAGGAAGACAUUAGUUUUCUCACUGCCCUGACCAAUUCCCUGAGAAGCAGCAACAUGUGGCACCAAAAGGAUGAUAGCCUAUCCAUGACACUGUGAGGCCUUGAAAUUGUUGUUCCUCAAGAUUCCCCAGGACAUGUUUUGUGUCAUGAGUGGCAUGGUGGCAGGAGAAGACCCUUACCAUGAUAGGGAAUUUAUAACCAUAGGGAAAGGCUGCAGGAGGUAACAAAGCAGGAAAUCAACUUGAAUCCACCUGUCACAGGUCAAAUGGAUUCCAGGUAAGUAUUCCUGUCAACCAACAGCCUAAAUUUCCCCACCUGUCUAUUCCUGAGGGUGGGAUCUCUCCCCUUUCCCUGGUCCUGGGACUCCCCUACCCCAACUACUAAGGCCAUGGGCCUAAAAUUUCAAAUGUACA